GCCAGCCCGCUCAAGAAACUCAAAGGAAUUGACGGGGCCCGGCACAAGCGGUGGAGCAUGUGGUUUAAUUCGAUGAUACGCGAGGAACUUACCUGGGCUCGAACGUAAGAUGACUGUAGGUGAAAGCUUACAUCUCUUCGGAGCAUUUUACGAGGUGCUGCAUGGUUGUCGUCAGCUCGUGCCGUGAGGUGUCGGGUUAAGUCCCAUAACGAGCGCAACCCCUACCUUUAGUUGCCAUCAGGUUAAGCUGGGGACUCUAAAGGAACUGCCUACGCAAGUAGUGAGGAAGGCGGGGAUGACGUCAAAUCAGCACGGCCCUUACGUCCAGGGCUACACACGUGCUACAAUGGCCGAUACAGAGGGCAGCUACCUGGUGACAGGAUGCAAAUCUCCAAAGUCGGUCUCAGUUCGGAUCGGAGUCUGCAACCCGACUCCGUGAAGUUGGAUUCGCUAGUAAUCGCGCAUCAGCCAUGGCGCGGUGAAUACGUUCCCGGGCCUU
RNAcentral lists this ribosomal RNA (499 nucleotides) under uncultured Sphingobacteriales bacterium. Its description in RNAcentral is "bacterial SSU rRNA". It matches the Rfam family "Bacterial small subunit ribosomal RNA", at positions 878 to 1382 of the family's 1533-position model. Lineage: Bacteria; Pseudomonadati; Bacteroidota; Sphingobacteriia; Sphingobacteriales. The record is from RNAcentral.